This 433-nucleotide ribosomal RNA is filed under the name uncultured bacterium. RNAcentral's name for it is "partial 16S ribosomal RNA". It matches the Rfam family "Bacterial small subunit ribosomal RNA", at positions 29 to 507 of the family's 1533-position model. The record is from RNAcentral.
AACGAACGCUGGCGGCAUGCCUAACACAUGCAAGUCGAACGAAGGCUUCGGCCUUAGUGGCGCACGGGUGCGUAACGCGUGGGAAUCUGCCCUUUGGUUCGGAAUAACAGCUGGAAACGGCUGCUAAUACCGGAUGAUGACGAAAGUCCAAAGAUUUAUCGCCAGAGGAUGAGCCCGCGUUGGAUUAGGUAGUUGGUGGGGUAAAGGCCUACCAAGCCGACGAUCCAUAGCUGGUCUGAGAGGAUGAUCAGCCACACUGGGACUGAGACACGGCCCAGACUCCUACGGGAGGCAGCAGUGGGGAAUAUUGGACGAUGGGCGCAAGCCUGGUCCAGCAAUGCCGCGUGAGUGAUGAAGGCCCUAGGGUUGUAAAGCUCUUUUACCCGGGAAGAUAAUGACUGUACCGGGAGAAGAAGCCCCGGCUAACUCCGUG